UAGGAGAAAAGGAGAGAUGAAGUAGCAGCGUAGACUCGUCUGUAAUCUAACGUGUUACCUGUCUUAUGUCAAUCAUUUAAUUCCUGUGUUGUCUUUUCGUUGUUAUCAAACUCACGAGCCAAUCAGAGUAAACUCACUGUGGAAGAGGCGGGACUAGUGGCGCAGGUUAGUUUGGUGCGUAGUGAGCAUGCGUCAGAAGAGACGGAGUCGCUGUCGACCAGAGAGCUGAGAGGAGGCAUCGUGUUGUGGAGAGUAUUUAAGUUUUAUCCCGGAGGUCGACUGCUCUGUGUGACCUGCAACAGGUGAAUAUGGAGGCUGACGCUGGAGAAGGAGAGAGGUCGAGACGGUUUCCAACAGACGGCCCUGCUGUUCUUCCUUGUGACUUCGCAGCUGUGCGCCAUCGCCUGCGUGUGUGCUUGAACUGUGACCGCCAUGCUUGUCCCCUUCUAUCCCCACUGACAAACUCUGGAUUCUGUUUCUUGGCUUCGUCUCAGAGAAACUCAAGGGUAGAGCCAGAAUACACUGGAGGAUUGAAUGUCCCAUCAGACCUGGGAGGUUGCGGCUGAGGGAAGAAUGCUAUCUGUCUAAGCCUGCUGCCACUUCGGGUCAGACUCUGGCAUCACCUGGUGACUGGGCAAAACCUCAGACACAAGAAAGCAACUAAGCAACAACUUCUGGGUGCAAGUCUUGAUACAGCAAACUGUAUCCUUCCCACAGGACCCUCAUCUUGUGUGGACAGAGGGGAACCUCCAUCGUUUGGCUGUGUUUUACCAACAGGAAACCGGAGGUCAAUUUUACAUCUUGUCCACUGUCACCCUUCUCACCCUUUGGACCAGGAUCACCUGAAAAACAAAAAGCACAGGAAGGGACAUCAGCUACACUUGCAGCCCAGGAUGUCCAACCUCUCCACAGGGGCCAGCAGGUCCUCUGGGGCCCUUUUGGGCAGGGGCAUAAGUUGGGCAGGGGGAGACUCGUCCCUUCUCCCCCUUUGGACCAGCUGGUCCAACACAUCCUUUUGGUCCUGGAGGCCCACUGGGACCGGUAUAACCGUCAGGACCCCGAUUACCAGGGAAGCCAACAAAUCCAGCAGGUCCUUUUUGACCAGGUGGUCCUGGAGGUCCUGGUUUGCCGACAGGCCCGGCGGGUCCUGGUAGACCUACGAUGCCAGGGGCUCCAUUGAUGCCUGGAUACCCUGGCUUACCAGUAGCUCCUCGUACACCUUUAGCUCCUGUAGAGACAGCGUGUUUCAAGGCAAACCUUUAUCUCCUCUCAGCCCCGGAGCCCCUGGGACUCCUGGAGACCCUGGAGAUCCCAAGACACCCACAGGGCCUGGAACACCCCUCAGUUCAAGAGGAGGCCCACAAGCACAGUCACCACGACUACCUGGAACACAGGUAGAAUAAGUUCUCCAGGUGUGGGUCCAUCUUCAUAUACCUGACCCGUAUCUCCUUUGUCCCCUUUGAAUCCUGGUACUCCCCUCAGUCCCACAGUACCCGGAGGUCCUGAUGAGGAACGACACAGAACUUCAUUAAUCAUCAUACAGC
Long non-coding RNA from Acanthopagrus latus (yellowfin seabream), 1544 nucleotides. RefSeq lists it as uncharacterized. The record is from RefSeq and is a predicted model, not a curated record. Lineage: Eukaryota; Metazoa; Chordata; Actinopteri; Spariformes; Sparidae. The transcript is spliced from 8 exons.